Molecule: transfer RNA, 72 nt
Organism: Metarhizium majus ARSEF 297
Lineage: Eukaryota; Fungi; Ascomycota; Sordariomycetes; Hypocreales; Clavicipitaceae
Rfam family: tRNA
About the family: Transfer RNA (tRNA) molecules are approximately 80 nucleotides in length. Their secondary structure includes four short double-helical elements and three loops (D, anti-codon, and T loops). Further hydrogen bonds mediate the characteristic L-shaped molecular structure. tRNAs have two regions of fundamental functional importance: the anti-codon, which is responsible for specific mRNA codon recognition, and the 3' end, to which the tRNAs corresponding amino acid is attached (by aminoacyl-tRNA synthetases). tRNAs cope with the degeneracy of the genetic code in two manners: having more than one tRNA (with a specific anti-codon) for a particular amino acid; and 'wobble' base-pairing, i.e. permitting non-standard base-pairing at the 3rd anti-codon position.
Source: Rfam
GGGGAUAUAAUUCAAUAGGUAGAAUCUUGAUUUUGCACGUUAAAUACUUAGGUUCAAUUCCUAAUAUCUCCA